RNAcentral lists this ribosomal RNA (357 nucleotides) under Triticum aestivum (bread wheat). RNAcentral describes it as "partial small subunit ribosomal RNA". Lineage: Eukaryota; Viridiplantae; Streptophyta; Magnoliopsida; Poales; Poaceae. The record is from RNAcentral.
AUGCGUGAGAAUGAAUCGGUUGACCAUCUCUUCUUCAAAUGUCGUUUCACCGUUCGCCUAUGGGGCUUGGUCAAGGCGUGGCUGCAACUCAUUCACAUUGACACCUCUACUUGGCCCCUGAGGCAUUCCACCUUAGACUGGUGGCUUGGGUUGACUGAUGCUUUCGUCCCCAACCGGAAGGCCAUGGCCUCGCUCACCAUGCUCACUACAUGGACGAUCUGGAACGAGCGAAACGCACGUGUAUUCCGCAACAUGGCCGCUCCGCCUACGGUUCUUCUCGACAACAUCAAAAGGGAGGCAUCAUUUUGGGUCGCCGCUGGAGCUAAGAAGCUAGGGUCCAUCAUGCCGGGAGAGUGA